Acanthosepion pharaonis is the source of this 100-nucleotide non-coding RNA. NCBI's taxonomy places the organism in Eukaryota, Metazoa, Mollusca, Cephalopoda, Sepiida, Sepiidae. The record is from the annotation of a GenBank genome assembly.
CAUUGAAAAACCGGUUCACGUACGGUCACUGAAGUUAAGCAACGUCAAGCCUGGUUAGUACAUAGAUGGGUAACUGCUUGUGAAUACCACAUGCUGCAAG